UGCUGUUUCAAAGAUUAAGCCAUGCAUGUCUAAGUAUAAGCAUUUAUACAGCGAAACUGCGAAUGGCUCAUUAUAUAAGUUAUCGUUUAUUUGAUAGUACCUUACUACAUGGAUAACCGUGGUAAUUCUAGAGCUAAUACAUGCUAAAAAUCCCAACUUCGGAAGGGAUGUAUUUAUUAGAUUAAAAACCAAUGCCCUCUGGGCUCUCUGGUGAUUCAUGAUAACUCUUCGAAUCGCAUGGCCUUGCGCUGGCGAUGGUUCAUUCAAAUUUCUUCCCUAUCAACUUUCGAUGUUUGGGUAUUGGCCAAACAUGGUUGCAACGGGUAACGGAGGGUUAGGGCUCGACCCCGGAGAAGGAGCCUGAGAAACGGCUACUACAUCCAAGGAAGGCAGCAGGCGCGCAAAUUACCCAAUCCCGACACGGGGAGGUAGUGACAAUAAAUACUGAUACAGGGCUCUUUCGGGUCUUGUAAUUGGAAUGAGUACAAUUUAAAUCCCUUAACGAGGAACAAUUGGAGGGAAGUCUGGGGGCCAGCAGCCAAA
Molecule: ribosomal RNA, 543 nt
Filed under: uncultured Phyllachora
Lineage: Eukaryota; Fungi; Ascomycota; Sordariomycetes; Phyllachorales; Phyllachoraceae
Description: SSU rRNA
Rfam family: Eukaryotic small subunit ribosomal RNA
Source: RNAcentral